GUUACAGUCAUCGACUAAAUUUGUCUGUCUGUGACACUCUUUCUAACGUUGAAAAUAAUAACAUGUUAUCUGUUGUUUCUCAAGCUGCCAAUUUUAUCAACAUAUCACAGACACGCAACAUACCCUUUGCUGAGCACGUUAAAAAGUCAGAUGUUCAGACCAAGAAGGCAAAACUGGUACACUACCAAUCACCUCAUGUGAAUGUGAGAGAUCAAUUUCAGCACUGAGGAAUCUAAAAACCUACCAAAGGAGCACUAUGGUAGAGGAACGUUUAAAUGGCCUGGCUUUAAUGCGAAUUCACCCAGAAAUUAUUCCUGACAUAGAAAGAGUGAUCAAUAAGUUUGCUGAAGGUAAUACACGUUUGAAAUUUG
Long non-coding RNA from Xenia sp. Carnegie-2017, 371 nucleotides. RefSeq lists it as uncharacterized. The transcript is spliced from 2 exons. The record is from RefSeq and is a predicted model, not a curated record. Lineage: Eukaryota; Metazoa; Cnidaria; Anthozoa; Malacalcyonacea; Xeniidae.